UUUACUUCUCUAGUUGUGGGACUUCCAUUCAGUCAGCUUUCAGGCAGCUCUGGAUGAUGGUUGUUCUGUAUUUUAGUUGUAAU
This 83-nucleotide microRNA precursor is filed under the name Myotis davidii. RNAcentral's name for it is "mir-9236 microRNA precursor family". It matches the Rfam family "mir-9236 microRNA precursor family". Lineage: Eukaryota; Metazoa; Chordata; Mammalia; Chiroptera; Vespertilionidae. The record is from Rfam by way of RNAcentral.